RNAcentral lists this ribosomal RNA (537 nucleotides) under Trichoderma hamatum. RNAcentral describes it as "eukaryotic LSU rRNA". The stretch from base 148 to 301 matches the Rfam family "5.8S ribosomal RNA". Lineage: Eukaryota; Fungi; Ascomycota; Sordariomycetes; Hypocreales; Hypocreaceae. The record is from RNAcentral.
CCAAACUGUUGCCUCGGCGGGGUCACGCCCCGGGUGCGUAAAAGCCCCGGAACCAGGCGCCCGCCGGAGGAACCAACCAAACUCUUUCUGUAGUCCCCUCGCGGACGUAUUUCUUACAGCUCUGAGCAAAAAUUCAAAAUGAAUCAAAACUUUCAACAACGGAUCUCUUGGUUCUGGCAUCGAUGAAGAACGCAGCGAAAUGCGAUAAGUAAUGUGAAUUGCAGAAUUCAGUGAAUCAUCGAAUCUUUGAACGCACAUUGCGCCCGCCAGUAUUCUGGCGGGCAUGCCUGUCCGAGCGUCAUUUCAACCCUCGAACCCCUCCGGGGGAUCGGCGUUGGGGAUCGGGACCCCUCACCGGGUGCCGGCCCUGAAAUACAGUGGCGGUCUCGCCGCAGCCUCUCCUGCGCAGUAGUUUGCACAACUCGCACCGGGAGCGCGGCGCGUCCACGUCCGUAAAACACCCAACUUCUGAAAUGUUGACCUCGGAUCAGGUAGGAAUACCCGCUGAACUUAAGCAUAUCAAUAGCGGAGGAAAGC